UACGUAGGUGGCAAGCGUUGUCCGGAUUUAUUGGGCGUAAAGGGAGCGCAGGCGGUGACUUAAGUCUGAUGUGAAAGCCCACGGCUCAACCGUGGAAGGUCAUUGGAAACUGGGUCACUUGAAUAUAGAAGAGGAAAGUGGAAUUCCAUGUGUAGCGGUGAAAUGCGUAGAGAUAUGGAGGAACACCAGUGGCGAAGGCGGCUUCCUGGUCUGUAACUGACACUGAGGCGCGAAAGCGUGGGGAGCAAACAGGAUUAGAUACCCCCGUAGU
RNAcentral lists this ribosomal RNA (271 nucleotides) under uncultured prokaryote. RNAcentral's name for it is "partial 16S ribosomal RNA". It matches the Rfam family "Bacterial small subunit ribosomal RNA", at positions 524 to 794 of the family's 1533-position model. The record is from RNAcentral.